GUCGAGCUUAGUAUCGCAAGCUUAUGAUCCGAGUGGAGACAUUAAGGUGAUGGGACGUUGUCCUGACUUGUCUGGGAAUGGUUUGGUGAGAUCUACCUACUGGCCCAAGUUGGAGUUCGGUUGGCGGAAUGGCCUGCCGUUAGUCUCCGGCCGAAGGAAUAUUGGACCACUGAUCUCUAAACCUUCGGCUCAUUGAACCAGUGAGCUCUAAACCAACUAGUCCUGGUAUGUCGGGUUAAAUUGGACCAUCACUUUU
This 256-nucleotide non-coding RNA is filed under the name Brassica napus (rape). Lineage: Eukaryota; Viridiplantae; Streptophyta; Magnoliopsida; Brassicales; Brassicaceae. The record is from RNAcentral.